UGAACGCUAGCGGCAGGCUUAACACAUGCAAGUCGAGGGGUAUUAGUUUUCGGACUAAGAGACCGGCGCACGGGUGCGUAACGCGUAUGCAAUCUACCUUUCACAAAGGGAUAGCCCAGAGAAAUUUGGAUUAAUACCUUAUAGUAUAACGACUUCGCAUGGAGAUGUUAUUAAAGAUUUAUCGGUGAAAGAUGAGCAUGCGUCCCAUUAGCUAGUUGGUAAGGUAACGGCUUACCAAGGCUACGAUGGGUAGGGGUCCUGAGAGGGAGAUCCCCCACACUGGUACUGAGACACGGACCAGACUCCUACGGGAGGCAGCAGUGAGGAAUAUUGGUCAAUGGGCGCAAGCCUGAACCAGCCAUGCCGCGUGCAGGAUGACGGUCCUAUGGAUUGUAAACUGCUUUUGUACAGGAAGAACACUCCCUCGUGAGGGAGCUUGACGGUACUGUAAGAAUAAGGAUCGGCUAACUCCGUGCCAGCAG
This 482-nucleotide ribosomal RNA is filed under the name uncultured bacterium. RNAcentral describes it as "bacterial SSU rRNA". It matches the Rfam family "Bacterial small subunit ribosomal RNA", at positions 30 to 514 of the family's 1533-position model. The record is from RNAcentral.